CGAUGACAAAGCAGAGGGACAGAGAGAAAGAGAUCUGAAGAUGCCACCCUGCUGGCUUUGAAGAUGGAAAAAGGGCCAAAAGCCAAGAGAUGUAGGUGGCCUCUGGAAGCUGAAGGGGCAAGGAAACAGAUCUCCCCUGGAGCCUCUAGAAGGACCUGGCUCUACCAACAUCUUGACCUUGGCCCAGCGAGCCUGGUCCCAGAUGUCUGGCCUCCAGAGCCGAGAGAGGACACAUUUGUGUUGUUGGAAGGCACUGCAUUUGUGGUGAUUUGUUACAGCAGCCACAGGACGCUAAACAACCACUGAGUCAGCCCGUCCCCUGCAGCUCUCUCAGCGGCAGCCUGGUUCCCGAAAACAGCAAGAAUGAAGCCGGCCUCAUGGAGCUGACACCUGGCAGGGUACAUCAUCGAGCAGUGGGCAGUUGCAACGCAUCGCAGGGGACACCUGCGGCUGGCGACACGGAGAAGGGCCCCCGCUCAGCCUGAAGCAUCAGGGAAGACUUGCUCAACAAGGGCUGCUUCAGCAGAGGCUGGGAAGAUGAAUAGGACUUAACCGGGAGGAAAAGGGAAGGGGGGAUACCAAACAGAGGGAGCAGUGAGUGCAAAGGCCUGGAGGUGAGAGAGAGCCCAAUCAUUUGAGCAACUGAAGUGAUACAGCCCGGACAGAGGACAGGGUUUGAAGGGGAAACGAUAGAAGCCUGUGGUGCAACGGUUAGGCGUCGAGCUCUGGUCCUGGGAGGUUUAAACACAGCUACAGCACAGAGCAAAGGGCUCAAGAAAUCUGUCAUUUGGGGCUGGCCUGGUGGUGCAGCGGUUGGGUGCACACGCUCCACUUCGGUGGCCCGGGGUUCACCAGUUUGGAUCCCCGGUGCAGACAUGGCACUACUUGGCAAGCCAUGCUGUGGAGAGCAGCAGCUGGAGGAGUAGGGAAGGAGGGUCUGGUGCUUCCUGCUUCUCGCCAUGGUGGGCUCACUGGUUUUAGGUCAGCCUUCCCACCCAGAACACCUAGAAGUGGCCCAGAAAGAUGCGCCUGAAAUUGGGAGUUGCUUUUCCCCUCAAGGUGUGUACUGACUGGGGCCGUGGAGAGGCUGAGAAGCUGGCAGAGCUUUGGUGUCUCAAAGUCUCGGGGAACAAAAAUUGGAGUGCAGGACCCAUCAUGGUGGCCGAUCUGUGAAAAAUGCCCCAGGCUUUAAGGGGAAUUCUAAUAACUGUGAUUAAUACAUUCAGGAAGUUAGAUAACGAGAAUUUCAGCAGGAAACUGGAAACUAGAGAAAAGAAUCAAGUGGAAGUUCCAAGACUGAAAAAUACAAUACGAAAAUUCAGAUUUGCAGUUAAGAUCACAGGCUCUGAUCAGAGGCCACCGUGCCCGGGUUAGUCCUAGCCCCAGCCUUUGCUAUGUCCAAUGCCAGUCCUUGUUUCUGUUUUAUUGGUGGAAUUCACACGACGUACAUGGAGGCAUUUGAGAGUGCACGGUUCAGUGGUUU
Molecule: long non-coding RNA, 1483 nt
Organism: Equus caballus (horse)
Lineage: Eukaryota; Metazoa; Chordata; Mammalia; Perissodactyla; Equidae
Source: Ensembl